CUGAGAAUUGUGUUACAGUGGAAACAGAGGGUGGAGUUGAUUACGUUUUAAGCCAGGUGAUGAGGGCAGUAAGCAAUUUGAGAAUUUUCACAAAUAUCAUAAAGGAGAGGCAAGGAUAACUGGCACUUUAAGGCAAAACUAAACUGUGGUAAAAGCAAAAGGUGAAGUACCUCAAGCAGUUGGUGCUUCAUCUGUGUGUUUGCAGUGCUGAUAGAUAAAGUGUUUCUGCAGCUCACAGGUGUUGUUGGUGGUUCUGUUGUUCUGCCGUGUUCAGCUGAACAUGAUCAUGAACUUCAAGACACUGAAGUGUUCUGGAGACACAAUAAUAGCAAGAUUGUGCAUGAUAUAAUUAAAGGCAGUCAAACAGAGACACAGGACUCACUGUACAAAAACAGAAUUGAAAGUUUCCCUGAUGAGUGUCCGAGAGGAAACUUCUCCAUCAAACUCAACGAUCUCACUCACGCUCACGCAGGAAAAUACAUCUGCUACAUCACAAGCUCAUCUGAUUCUCAACAGAAGACUGUACAGCUGAUCAUCAACGAAUCAACUGAAAAAGGAAACAAAACCAAUGAUCAAGAAAACCCAAACCAAGAAGAAACGGUACCAAAUAUAGUGACAUCAUCGUGUUUUCAACAGGUUAUCAUUGUAUCAUCUGUAUUAUUAUCAUUAUUAUUAUAAAUCGUGCUUAUUGUCUGUUUAAUCAGAUUUUACUCGUGAGAGAAAAAAAGCUCCUUUAUUCACUUCAGCCAUGAUUAAAGAACAAACAACAGUGUAAACAGGUCUAAAAAUUUCACUUCACACGUUCUCUGAAUCUUUCAUUGGUUCCUUCAAGUGUAAAAUAAGCUGCAGUAUGAGACAGUGUUUUUUGUUUGUUUUUGGCAUGUACACUGCUUUGUUUUUUAUUGUAUAACAGAAUAAUAUCUUGAAAAACUGAGAUCUUUAAACUUUUUUUUUUAUAGUUCAGUGAUGGCUGAAUCGGUCAGUAUGUUGCUGCCUUAACAUUUCUGUACCACAAGUGCUCUUUUUGGUUGUGUUUGCCAGAAUAAAUGUAUUUUGUAUUCUUUAUGUAUUAUUUUAUAUUUGUUAAAUUGUUGCUGCACAUCAUGUAAAGGGUGCAGAAAAUAAAACAGAUAAUCACGGUGCUCAAGUUUGAGAUCUGUUACACAGCUUUGCAGACUGAUGUCAGAAGAGCACAACAUGAUGUCUUUAUUUGCAUCCUUGAAUGAAUUUGCUUCAUAUGCACUAUUCAAGGUUGAUCUACAAGGUUAUAUCUACAAGUUAUAAUACAUUUGUUUAUGAAAUUGCAUGAGCAUCAUGAGAGUGUGAAAAGAUGCUGCCUUUUGCCUUUAAAUCUUUAAAGUUUCUCAGGAACAGUCAGAGCAACUGUGAGAAACUUGUGAUUCAUUGUAUGUGGAUGAUUUCAGUGUUCAAGACUCAAAUUGUGCAGAUGAAAUAAUGCAUCUAUUGUGUUCACAUGUUCAUAUUUCUAAAAUAAACCAAUUCUUGUAGAGCA
This is a long non-coding RNA of Onychostoma macrolepis, 1513 nucleotides long. RefSeq lists it as uncharacterized. NCBI's taxonomy places the organism in Eukaryota, Metazoa, Chordata, Actinopteri, Cypriniformes, Cyprinidae. The record is from RefSeq and is a predicted model, not a curated record. The transcript is spliced from 4 exons.